This 398-nucleotide ribosomal RNA is filed under the name uncultured bacterium. Its description in RNAcentral is "partial 16S ribosomal RNA". It matches the Rfam family "Bacterial small subunit ribosomal RNA", at positions 338 to 734 of the family's 1533-position model. The record is from RNAcentral.
CCUACGGGAGGCAGCAGUGAGGAAUAUUGGUCAAUGGGAGAGAUCCUGAACCAGCCAAGCCGCGUGAGGGAAGACGGCCCUAUGGGUUGUAAACCUCUUUUGUCGGAGAACAAAACCCGGGACGAGUCCCGGACUGCGUGUAUCCGAAGAAAAAGCAUCGGCUAACUCCGUGCCAGCAGCCGCGGUAAUACGGAGGAUGCGAGCGUUAUCCGGAUUUAUUGGGUUUAAAGGGUGCGUAGGCGGUCGGUUAAGUAAGCGGUAAAAUUGCGGGGCUCAACCCGGUCGUGCCGUUGAAACUGGCGGACUUGAGUGGGGGUGAAGUAGGCGGAAUGCGUGGUGUAGCGGUGAAAUGCAUAGAGAUCGUGCAGAACUCCGAUUGCGAAGGCAGCGUACCGGGG